CCUACGGGUGGCAGCAGUGGGGAAUAUUGGGCAAUGGGCGCAAGCCUGACCCAGCAACGCCGCGUGAAGGAAGAAGGCUUUCGGGUUGUAAACUUCUUUUGUCAGGGAAGAGUAGAAGACGGUACCUGACGAAUAAGCCACGGCUAACUACGUGCCAGCAGCCGCGGUAAUACGUAGGUGGCAAGCGUUGUCCGGAUUUACUGGGUGUAAAGGGCGUGUAGCCGGGAAGGCAAGUCAGAUGUGAAAUCCGGAGGCUCAACCUCCGAAUUGCAUUUGAAACUGUUUUUCUUGAGUACUGGAGAGGCAGACGGAAUUCCUUGUGUAGCGGUGAAAUGCGUAGAUAUAAGGAGGAACACCAGUGGCGAAGGCGGUCUGCUGGACAGCAACUGACGGUGAGGCGCGAAAGCGUGGGGAGCAAACAGGAUUAGAUACCCGAGUAGUC
RNAcentral lists this ribosomal RNA (442 nucleotides) under uncultured bacterium. RNAcentral's name for it is "partial 16S ribosomal RNA". It matches the Rfam family "Bacterial small subunit ribosomal RNA", at positions 338 to 795 of the family's 1533-position model. The record is from RNAcentral.